Molecule: long non-coding RNA, 883 nt
Organism: Folsomia candida
Lineage: Eukaryota; Metazoa; Arthropoda; Collembola; Entomobryomorpha; Isotomidae
Exons: 3
Source: RefSeq, a predicted model, not a curated record
CUCCCUCCAGUCAGGCAAAAAGACGCUUUGCGGAUAUGCUCCAAUUUUUGCGUCCGAACUGAACUUUGAAACACGGUGAAAAAAUUUGUUUAAUAGUUGUUUGUAAAGGCUGCCGUUCUCGAUAUAAAGAAUAGAGUAAAGAAAGAAAAGUAAUUAAUAAGUAAAAUUAAUAAAUCUGCAAUGGUACCCGUAAUAAGAAACUUACGAAAGUGAAAGUGUGAUGACUAUGACCGAAUGGUGUUUAAGCUGAAAAAUUUAUCCCACAAUCACUUCUAGACUCUAAAACUGUUCGGUGGCUUCAUGGACGUGAAUUUUAGUUUAUCAAUAUAUUUUUGCCUUAUCAAGAAAUUCUGUAUGAGUAUCAAAAGCUUGCAAAAAUAAAAACUUCAAGUUAAAAUAUCCUCCGCCUCGGAUACCGAUGUUAAAGAUUAAUAUAAUUAUAUAAACUAUAAAUUAACUUCAAAUCUAUAAAAUCUUGCAAAACACAUAAUUACAUGGUUAGAUUUAUAAAAUUGUCUUGUUGGUUUUGAGAACUAUUGUUAAAAAGUUGGUUAGUUAUUAGUGUGUGCUUGAUUUAACAACUUAUGACUGUAACGACUUAGCAUCAUCCUAGACACAAUAUUUUAAAAAUUAGUAGGUGAUCUGAUCUGAAGAAGGGUUUCACUCAGGAAUAAUUUUUAAACAAGAAGAAGGAGGGACCGAGGUGGACAAGGAUCCACCCACCACCAACACAACCCAACGUUCCCCACUUCCGGCCAACCUCCGCCGCCCCCCGCCAACAUCGGAGGAACUCGCCGAUUUAGAAAUUUCAGCUUAUUAUAAUAAGCUGAAAUUUAGCGUGCAGUCGACAAAAUAACUUGUGAUUAGAGCGUUUAGGAGGGUU